GUCUUCACAAUCUAGAAAGAUAUAAUAUUCAACUUAAAUAGUGCAAAAAGAUGUGGUAGAAUGAUGAAGAAGUAUGUAUUAUGAUGUUCAAGUGAUAUUAUAAUCUCAACUUCCAAUUCAAAUGAAACGUAUUUUUACUAAACUCUUUUACUCACAACUUUUAAAAUAUACAUUUUUGCUUGUGUUAUAAUUGGAAGUGAAAAUGGGACACAAAAGCAUUUAUAUAGGAUAUAUAUAUGUACGUAUAUAUGAUGAUCACGGCAAUUUUUUUUUAACUGCAUGAAUAAAAACCCAAAAGGAAAUGCCGUGAAGUUUUAUUAAUGGUUAUCUUUUGAUGGUGGGCAGUUUGAUUGUAAUGUAUUCUGGUGUUGUAAUUGUCUCUCUCUCUCUUUNNNNNNUUUUUUUUUUUUUUAAGGUGUGGGGUAAGGAUUUUUUUUUCUUCCUUUCUCCUUUUUAACAUUUUCAACAUCUUCUCUAAUAAGGAUGUAUUUCUUUUAUAUUGACCAAAUGAAUUAAAAACUCUACUUUUGAAAGUAAGUAUUUAUUUCCCACACUGUCACUUGUGUUUACUAAGUACAAUAUUUGCUUUCUUUAUGCUCCUCCUGAUUGUUUGGGAAGGCGGUAUGAGCAAGAGUUAAAUGCCAAAGUGGCUGAUGAGAUGCAGCAACCUGCUCUGCACAGUGUUACCAGGAAGCGCGGAUCAGAACAAGGAUCAAAGACACUUUGCUCUUCAAAGAUCUCAGAGGCUUCUGGGACUAGAGUCUUGUCAUGCCUUCCACCUAACACCAACUCUAUAGAAAUAUGAUUUCAUUACCACAACUAAGUGGCCUCAUAUCAGGUGAGAGAAAGACCAGCUAGACCAGAGAAAGCUGCCUGACCCCCUUGAGUCCAUCACUGAAGACUGGAACUCACAAACCUGUGCUCCCCUGGUAUGUGAAACGUCCCUUCGUGAGCCCAAGAACCAGGCUACCCCACGGCUGAGGUCCUGCAGACUAUCUGGUGGGGUUGGACCAGGCGUCAGUAGAUAAAGUAGCCUGCCUUUUCUCCGACAAGCCCAGCUGCCCUGCCUGCUAAUUGUGGAGCAAACAGAAAAUGUCAACUAGUUAACUUGAAACAUAUGUCACUUUAUUUGGCCAAUUGUUUGGUUUAAUUAACAGACACACUUCCGGACACAUUUGUCUCAUUUAUUUUCAGUCUAACAUUGAAUCUUAAUUCAGUCCUUUUAAACGAUGACAAAGGAAUGGCUUUGCAAUUUGCCUGUUUUCCCAAAAAUCUUUCUAUUACUAUAAAUAAAUAUAUUUAUAUCUAUAAAUAUAUGAGACAGAACCAUGGUUACUAUUGAAUACAACCAUUGUCAUUAUUAUGUCAUCAUAGUACAUAGCAUAGUGCAGGGCUAGUAAUUGGUAACCUGCUCCUAGGGAAAUGUUUAUGUUAACCUUCCCUCUACCCACCCACCUUGGCUUUCUGAGGUAAAAGUAGAACCCACUAUGUCUCAAUGAUAUGAAUGAUCAUUUUGUAUGCGGGGAUGACAUGCUAUAACUAUUCCUUCAGUAGAUUUAUGCUUCAACUUGCUUUACAGGUUGUAGUAGCCGUUUGCCCUAAUUUAUCAACAUUCUGCCAUUAGGGUCUGUAUUAGCUACAGUUCGUCAGUUGUACACAAGGGAAACAGACUCUGGAAAACAUGAGUAGAAAAUUAAUGUUUUAGAAGGAUAGUGGGUAGCCGACAGAACUAAUGCGAAAGCAAGGGAAUCUUCCUAGAGAAGGACAGGAACCAGGACAUCUCUAGAGGUGUAGGUGGCAGGAAGCCCUUGACAGUCUGAGGGUACAGCUGCUGGGACAAUGGGCGCCAACCAGAUUUUCAGUGUCUAGGUCACAUCAUUCAAGAUUCAUGUCCCCGGAGAGCCUGUUUGCUUAGCUCCUUGAGCGUGGGAGAACAAGACAGUUUGAUUUAUAGUCCCACCAAGACUAUACACAUGGCGGCAAGAUAGUUUCCCAGUCAGAGUGCUGUUCCCAGAAUAAGCCUGUGUGAUACCAGGGCUCUAAGCCCAGCUGUCCAGUUACUCUCGUCCUGAGUGUCCCAGGGACCUGCUGUCCUUCAGUGAUUCUGCAGCUCUCCUAGAGUUGGCUUUGAAUUCUCACCACUUCUCCUGGUCACCAGGACCACCACCUGUCAUUGUCCUCCACCACCGCAGCUGGGACUUUGGAUGUCAUGAAAAGGUUUCCCACAAUUAUAACUUUUAUAGCCAGUAGGCGAGACAUUUUGCCUACAGAGAAUUGAUAGUUCUGUUUUUAGGCCCCCAGAAUGCCAUGUGGAUCUUUCAGUUUUCAGUUCUCCGAGUGAGCUCCCCAAGUGAGAGUGUUUGAGUGCACUCCUCUGUAUCACCCUCAGGAAUACUUCUCCCUGACAAAACCGUCAGUAUCCUAACCUGAAGCACUCUUCAUCUUAUUCUAACCAACAUCAGGGUGAAUUCUUUUCUUCAGCCUGCUAGUCCCUAUUCAAAGGUUCUCCCAGGCUUAUCCACCCACCCUACUUCUCCACUCAGUGUUUCAGGGAUUGUAUUAGUCCCAAAGUCUUCCCUACCAUUUCUCUCAUGAAAUGAGGACUCCUGGUGUCCCAGAGAAAUGCAAAUGAGGUCCCUAAUGUGACAGAGUUUAAGUGUCUGCUUAUGAUAGGGUGUGCAAGGCAUGUACAAAUAAGAGGCUCCAUUUUGUGUUUGGGAAGCUCAACUUAGAUCAUUGGCCAGGAUACAUGGUGGGAGUUGGGAUCAUUUUAGUGGAGAUGAAUUGCUUGGAACUCCAGCUUGAAUCCUGUAGCAACUGAAAGCAACUAGUCUGCCCACCACCACAUAUGGGGACAUUCUGAUAAGAAUCAGCACUGUGGGAAUAAGGUCAAGAGUCCAGAGGACUCCCAGGGCUGAGGAAUAUGUGUUACUGGCACUAAAACUCUAAAUGCACUUUCCCACAGAAAUACUGUUAUAAAUAUCGGUCAGGGUCUUUAGUAGUAUUAAUGCAGUAUUAAGGUACAUUAGGGUUCCGUAAACUUUUGUGCCUGGCCUUGAGGGCAGAGCCACAAUUUGUAAUAUUGUUUCCAUAGGAAAACUUGUUCCCAGUUCCAGACAACAGACCAACAAAUAAGCUAACAAUCUGGGAAUUG
This is a long non-coding RNA of Camelus dromedarius (Arabian camel), 3154 nucleotides long. NCBI's taxonomy places the organism in Eukaryota, Metazoa, Chordata, Mammalia, Artiodactyla, Camelidae. The record is from Ensembl.